UACGUAGGGUGCAAGCGUUGUCCGGAAUUAUUGGGCGUAAAGAGCUCGUAGGCGGUUUGUCGCGUCUGCCUGUGAAAACCUCGGGGCUUAACUCCGGGCCUGCAGUGGGUACGGGCAGACUAGAGUGCGGUAGGGGAGACUGGAAUUCCUGGUGUAGCGGUGAAAUGCGCAGAUAUCAGGAGGAACACCAAUUGCGAAGGCAGCUCGCUGGGACGUUACUGACGCUGAGACGCGAAAGCGUGGGGAGCAAACAGG
RNAcentral lists this ribosomal RNA (255 nucleotides) under uncultured bacterium. RNAcentral's name for it is "partial 16S ribosomal RNA". It matches the Rfam family "Bacterial small subunit ribosomal RNA", at positions 524 to 776 of the family's 1533-position model. The record is from RNAcentral.